AUUGAACGCUGGCGGAAUGCUUUACACAUGCAAGUCGAGCGGCAGCACGGGGGCAACCCUGGUGGCGAGCGGCGAACGGGUGAGUAAUACAUCGGAACAUGCCCAGUCGUGGGGGAUAACACUUCGAAAGAAGUGCUAAUACCGCAUACGUCCUGAGGGGGAAAGCGGGGGAUCGCAAGACCUCGCGCGAUUGGAGUGGCCGAUGUCAGAUUAGCUAGUUGGUGGGGUAAAGGCCUACCAAGGCAACGAUCUGUAGCUGGUCUGAGAGGAUGAUCAGCCACACUGGGACUGAGACACGGACCAGACUCCUACGGGAGGCAGCAGUGGGGAAUGUUGGACAAUGGGGGCAACCCUGAUCCAGCAAUUCCGCGUGAGUGAAGAAGGACUUCGGGUUGUAAAGCUCUUUCGGCAGGAACGAAAAGGUGAGCUCUAAAAUAGCUAGAUAAUGACGGUAACUGAAGAAGAAGGACCGGCUAACUACGUG
Molecule: ribosomal RNA, 484 nt
Filed under: uncultured bacterium
Lineage: Bacteria
Description: partial 16S ribosomal RNA
Rfam family: Bacterial small subunit ribosomal RNA
Source: RNAcentral